UCUCCACAGUGGUGUUGGAUGAGCCCUCGGAGGACUCCAUUUGUUUUGAUGAUGGAUUCUUACGCUCCAUCAUCGUCUCAAAUGAGUCUUCAGAGGGUUCUAUCAUUUCGUCGGAUGGAAAGGAGUGUUCUC
RNAcentral lists this microRNA precursor (132 nucleotides) under Cervus elaphus hippelaphus. The stretch from base 20 to 101 matches the Rfam family "mir-136 microRNA precursor family". The record is from RNAcentral. Lineage: Eukaryota; Metazoa; Chordata; Mammalia; Artiodactyla; Cervidae.